Molecule: long non-coding RNA, 514 nt
Organism: Xiphias gladius (swordfish)
Lineage: Eukaryota; Metazoa; Chordata; Actinopteri; Istiophoriformes; Xiphiidae
Exons: 3
Source: RefSeq, a predicted model, not a curated record
UGAGUAUAAUCGUAUUCACAUGUACUGCGAAGGCUAGACAGUAAUGUGAGGGUGAGGACAGGUUAUGGCAGGCACUGUUCAGACAGCCGUCUUGUGGCCACUUCACAGUUCCACAGAGAUGGUUUAAGGCCAUGAACUUUGCUCAAGGGCCGUGCGUUUUGACAGAGAGGAACGGCAGCGCUCAUUGCCUGCUUCGUUUUUCAAGAUGUUUCCAUCAGUUGUCCUGUUGAUGAUAAUGUGCAAAUAGAAGGACAUUCUGCCGUGGUGAUUAGGUUCUUCAGGAGCCUAGUGGGCGAGAUCUCGGGAAGAGUAAGAGCUCAAGCCAUGGCACUACUCAUGUGCCUCAACCAAUGGGUACCCUGCUGGCAAAGCCUGAUGGUGCUCACCAACCUGACCCCCUCACGUACAACCCAGCUUCAAUUUUUGGAUGAAAACAAGCAGAUUUUUAUUAGGCAAAGUCACCAUACAUUUACAUUAACACGAUUUAAAUUCAAAUAAGAUAAGUGGAGUCAUA